CGUAGGUGGCAAGCGUUGUCCGGAAUUAUUGGGCGUAAAGCGCGCGCAGGCGGUCCUUUAAGUCUGAUGUGAAAGCCCACGGCUCAACCGUGGAGGGUCAUUGGAAACUGGGGGACUUGAGUACAGAAGAGAAGAGUGGAAUUCCACGUGUAGCGGUGAAAUGCGUAGAGAUGUGGAGGAACACCAGUGGCGAAGGCGACUCUUUGGUCUGUAACUGACGCUGAGGCGCGAAAGCGUGGGGAGCAAACAGGAUUAGAUACCCUGGUAGUCCACGCUGUAAACGAUGAGUGCUAAGUGUUAGAGGGUUUCCGCCCUUUAGCGCUGCAGCUAACGCAUUAAGCACUCCGCCUGGGGAGUACGGCCGCAAGGCUG
This 372-nucleotide ribosomal RNA is filed under the name uncultured organism. RNAcentral describes it as "bacterial SSU rRNA". It matches the Rfam family "Bacterial small subunit ribosomal RNA", at positions 526 to 896 of the family's 1533-position model. The record is from RNAcentral.